UUUGUUACUUAAAAACUGAUAACAUGGCAUCUCGGCUCUCUCUAAAUAAUUGUAUUAAAGCUUUUUUAUUUAGUUAAUUUGCCGUGUCACAAACGAGCAAUGACAGUACGACUGUACGAGUUUGACUGUACGAGUGUGAGUGCACGACAUGUCGAUAUACCACCGGGCACCGCGACUUACAAAGUUACAAACCUUAAAAUAUAUAGGAUGUAGGCACUCGUCCUAUGGAAAAUCUCCACUAAUCCACUAUCACUACGAUCUAAAAUCCAACUAAUUUAAGGAAUGACUACGAUGUAGUAAAAAAUUACAAAAAAUACUUUCCGGUACCGGGAAUCGAACCCGAGCCUCCUGGGUGAAAGCCAGGUAUCCUAGCCACUAGACCAUACCGGAGACGUGAGUCUAAUUUUUUAAAAAAAGUCGGAUAAAUUUGAUAAUGCAUCCAUAAAAAUAAAGGAGGUUUUAGAUGACCGUAAAAUUGAACCAGAAGUUGGGAUUGUUAGAAGCUGAAUAAUAAAACAAAUUUCUGUUCUACACACAUCAAACCCAACAUUUAUGAAGAUUCAAGAAAAAUAAUCAAUUUAAUUUUGAACAAAACAAUAAGAAGACUAUUAAAUAUUAUAUUAAACCAUGAUAUCCAAUAUUGGUUGAUGAAGUUGGUAAAAAAUACAGCAUGCAAAACAACAAUUCUACUCUGCUAACUGUGUUACAGAUGGUGGUGCUAAUAAAUAUGGAAAAUUCACAAAUUAUUAGUAUAUCAGAUGUGAUGAACAGUAUUCAUCACUUAGGCCAUGUUCUUAUGAAUGUUUCUAGAAAUAAUAAGUCAGAUAUACAGAAAGGGAUGGAUAUUAUUAAAGUUGAUGUCAAUAUAAAUCAAGAAACACUAAUGGAAACAGUAGAUACAAUUAGAAUUCAACAAUCAACAACCACAAGUUCAAAUGCAUAUGAUUUGUCAGUUGUCAUUACUCAAAGUGCCCAUUGAAAAUUUGGAGGAGUUGAAUAAACUCAAGGAGGAUGCGAAUAAAAAAAAAAUAUUAGUUGUGUCAUUAUUUAUUUAUUUAAGAAAAUGUAUGUUAAUGGGUGUCUACUUUUUUUGUAUAGGGUAAAUGUUACGUAGACACGAAAAUCAUUUAAUGCUAAAAGUGAUACGGACCUUAUGAUGAAGUUGACUGUAAAUAAUAGAAUAGCAGGAAAAAUCAAUAUGGAGGGAAGAAGAGGAGAUAAAUUGGCUUUUGGCCGUUUAGAAAUUUCUAAAAUUUUAAUUGAAGCCAUUCAAGACAUGUUUCCCGAUGAAUCCAUAUUAUCAAUUAAAAGUUAUAUCAGUGAUUGGCUUAAACAAGCCCCUAAAAUAAAAUUAGAUUUAUAUAUAAUUUUACAAUUAAGUUAUUUAAUAUAGUACAUUUGAUAUUGUAACAGUA
Long non-coding RNA from Acyrthosiphon pisum (pea aphid), 1415 nucleotides. RefSeq lists it as uncharacterized. NCBI's taxonomy places the organism in Eukaryota, Metazoa, Arthropoda, Insecta, Hemiptera, Aphididae. The record is from RefSeq and is a predicted model, not a curated record. The transcript has 7 exons.